GUGAGGAAUAUUGCGCAAUGGAGGCAACUCUGACGCAGCCAUGCCGCGUGCAGGAAGAAGGCGCUACGCGUUGUAAACUGCUUUUAACCGGGAAGAAACCCCAGGACGUGUCCUGGGUUGACGGUACCGGAGGAAUAAGCACCGGCUAACUUCGUGCCAGCAGCCGCGGUAAUACGAAGGGUGCAAGCGUUAUCCGGAUUCAUUGGGUUUAAAGGGUGCGUAGGCGGGGCGUUAAGUCAGUGGUGAAAUCCUGCAGCUCAACUGUAGACUUGCCAUUGAUACUGGCGCUCUUGAGUGCGCUUGAAGUAGGCGGAAUGUGCCGUGUAGCGGUGAAAUGCUUAGAUAUGGCACAGAACACCAAUUGCGAAGGCAGCUUACUAAGGCGAUACUGACGCUGAGGCACGAAAGCGUGGGGAUCAAACAGGAUUAGAAACCCCAGUAGUCC
Molecule: ribosomal RNA, 445 nt
Filed under: uncultured bacterium
Lineage: Bacteria
Description: partial 16S ribosomal RNA
Rfam family: Bacterial small subunit ribosomal RNA
Source: RNAcentral